UUAAAUUGAGAGUUUGAUCCUGGCUCAGGACGAACGCUGGCGGCGUGCCUAAUACAUGCAAGUCGAGCGAGCUGAAUUCAAAGAUCCCUUCGGGGUGAUUUGUUGGACGCUAGCGGCGGAUGGGUGAGUAACACGUGGGCAAUCUGCCCUAAAGACUGGGAUACCACUUGGAAACAGGUGCUAAUACCGGAUAACAACAUGAAUCGCAUGAUUCAAGUUUGAAAGGCGGCGCAAGCUGUCACUUUAGGAUGAGCCCGCGGCGCAUUAGCUAGUUGGUGGGGUAAAGGCCUACCAAGGCAAUGAUGCGU
This 308-nucleotide ribosomal RNA is filed under the name Lactobacillus delbrueckii subsp. indicus. Its description in RNAcentral is "bacterial SSU rRNA". It matches the Rfam family "Bacterial small subunit ribosomal RNA", at positions 1 to 284 of the family's 1533-position model. The record is from RNAcentral. Lineage: Bacteria; Bacillati; Bacillota; Bacilli; Lactobacillales; Lactobacillaceae.